RNAcentral lists this ribosomal RNA (396 nucleotides) under uncultured bacterium. RNAcentral's name for it is "partial 16S ribosomal RNA". It matches the Rfam family "Bacterial small subunit ribosomal RNA", at positions 523 to 918 of the family's 1533-position model. The record is from RNAcentral.
AUACGUAGGGGGCAAGCGUUAUCCGGAUUUACUGGGUGUAAAGGGAGCGCAGACGGCUAUGUAAGUCUGAAGUGAAAGCCCGCGGCUCAACCGCGGGACUGCUUUGGAAACUAUGCAGCUUGAGUGUCGGAGAGGUAAGCGGAAUUCCAAGUGUAGCGGUGAAAUGCGUAGAUAUUUGGAAGAACACCGGUGGCGAAGGCGGCUUACUGGACGAUAACUGACGUUGAGGCUCGAAGGCGUUGGGAGCAAGCAGGAUUAGAUACCCUGGUAGUCCACGCGGUAAACGAUGAAUACUAGGUGUCGGUGCCCAAAGGGUAUCGGUGCCGUCGCAAACGCAGUAAGUAUUCCACCUGGGGAGUACGUUCGCAAGAAUGAAACUCAAAUGAAUUGACGGGG